AUGCUCCGAACCUCCGCCACAAUCCUCCCCGGCGGCAUCCCAGCCUUGCUGUACACCGGCCGCAUCGACGCCGACAAGGAGGUGCAGGUGCAAAAUGUCGCCUUCCCCAAGAACCCUGCCGACCCGCUCCUCCGCGAGUGGGUCAAGCCUGCCUACAACCCCGUCAUACCACUCCCAGCUGACGUCCCUGGAGACAAUUUCCGUGACCCGACCACGGCGUGGGUAGGCCGCGACGGCCUAUGGCGUAUCGCCGUUGCAGCCAAGGUCGGUGGCCCCAAUGGCAUUGCCUCCACGCUCAUCUACCGAAGUAAGGACUUUCGGCACUGGAAGCGGAAUGCCUUGCCGUUGUACACAUCGCGCGCGGCAGGCGUGGUCGAAUGCCCGGACUUAUUCCCGGUGGCGGAGCCUGGCGUGGAGGAGGGGCGACUUGGCUACGCGGCCGGACCAGCGAGCAGCGCUGUGAGGCACGUGCUGAAGCUGAGUGUGAUGAACACGACCCAAGACUACUAUGCGGUCGGCAGGUAUGAUGAUGUGGCGGACACCUUUGUGCCGGAGGUGGAUGUAGAGCGCAACGCCGAUGAUUGCCGGACCUGGCGCCGCUUCGACUACGGGCAUGUGUAUGCAUCAAAGUCCUUCUUCGACUCGAGCAAGAACCGGCGCGUGCUAUGGGCAUGGGCCAAUGAGUCUGACAACCAGGACAACGACAUCGCUAGGGGCUGGUCCGGCGUUCAGACGGUUCCGAGGAAGGUGUGGCUGGACGAAGACAGAGCGCAGGUGAAUUCCGGUGGCGUGGACAAGAUCGUUGGUGUUGGCGCGCAGGCUGACGUGGAGGCCAUUUUCGAGAUCCCGUCCCUAGAAGAGGCUGAGACUUUCCAGCCCAACUGGCAGCUGGACCCCCAAAAGCUAUGCGAGGAGAAUGGUGCGUCCGUGCCAGGCAAGGUCGGCCCCUUCGGGCUGCUCGUCAUGGCCUCCAGCAACAUGCAGGAGCACACGGCUGUCUUCUUCAGAGUGUUCACACACAACUAG
This 1026-nucleotide ribosomal RNA is filed under the name Triticum aestivum (bread wheat). Its description in RNAcentral is "partial small subunit ribosomal RNA". The record is from RNAcentral. Lineage: Eukaryota; Viridiplantae; Streptophyta; Magnoliopsida; Poales; Poaceae.